UUUGGAAACAUAUCGUUCACAUCGGUGGAGAAAGAAAAGUUUUGAGUACCCAGAUAAUUUAUCUUGUUGUAUGCAUUUUUAACCUAGCCAUAUAUAUUAUGCCACAAGAAAUAAAACAAAAAACCUUUGAUUGUUGUGGGUUAAUCUUUGAAUCUAUUUCUGGAAUAUAAAUGCAACUUUGUACAGGCACUGUGUGGCCUAAUCUGUUAAGGUUAAUGUGUUAGUAAUUGAUACAUAAAAACAGUCUCUAGCAAAACCCACAGGUAUUUUAAUGCAGGAAAAUACAAACACUCAACAAGCAAAAUUAUAGAAAAUUUGUACACUAAAUAGCAUCUUUUUACAAAAUGUAACAUACAUAAUAAGAUAGGGAUCAUUUGACUUUUAAUCUCCUUAUAUGAUAAUUAUAUGACAGGUGUGUGCCUACAAAGAUGAUGUGUCUCAAAGGCAUCCAAAGAAAAUACAGGUAGCACAAAUGAGAUUUAAGGUUGAUUGUUCCAAAGAGAUAAUCAUACCUUUGCUAUGAAUCUUUGCUAGGGAUAUGUGGGUGUGACCUAAGACAAACCAAAAACCUACAGCGUUGUGUCUAUAAAAGCAGACCUGAAUUUGAGGUAGAGAGGAAAAGUGCAGGAGAGGCAAAUACAUUCCCUUCACUUGUACCUGUUCACUAAAUACAGUAUGAAGCUGAUCCUCUCAGUGAUUCUUCUCUGGACUGUCUUCAGCACAGCUGAAGGAAUCAGCUGUCGGCAUUGCACUAAUGAGGAUGAUCUGCUAUGCAGUUUUUCCUCUGUACAAACCUGUUCCGAUUCGGACAUAUGUUUGACAGCAUACAUCACUGAUGACAGUGCAAACCAAAGAAUCUACAGGAACUGUGCGCCUGCUAGUUUGUGUCCAGACGCCGUCGCUAAUUCAAUCUCCAUGAACUUGGGCCCCAAACACGUCUAUGCAAAUGUCAGUUGUUGCUCCACUGAUCAAUGCAACACAAACGAGUUAGAUUACCCCAACGUCCCAGCCAAAAACACUCUACGUUGCCUUGGUUGUGUGCCCAACACUGUGGACUGUAGUUCACCAGUUGAAUGCAGAGGAGAGGAAGACACCUGCAUCGAAGCAAUUGUUGUCAAACAGGGAGUUCCAACGACAUUUAAUGGCUGUGGAACUGCAAACGUGUGUGAUGCCACUGAUUUUAUGAAUAACCUGCCGUUCCUGGAGGAUAUUGGAUCAGUCUUUUCACCGUCAACCUGUAUAUUUGCCACGCCAACAACAACUACUGCUGAGCCAACAACAACAACAACGUCUAUCCCAACAACAACAAAAAUGCCUACGCCAAUAGCAACCACAGAAGAUACCACAAUCGAACCAACUACUUUACCAUGUCCCUCAAAUUUGACACUUCAAGAAUAUUUGGAGAAUAGUACAGCACUACUGCGCCAAUUGCACCGACUGUCAUGUCAAAUUAAAAAAAAGAUUACAAAGCCACAUGCACUGUCGCUGAUAAAUCUUCACCAACACCUGAUUUUGUACCAAACUAAACUGAUGGAGCAACAAAUGGCACUAGCCAAUCACCACGACUACAAUGUCCCACUAAUCUGCCAACAGAAUAUGGUUCUCAGCCACCACCAGCUGCUACUGCACCAAAUUCACCAGCACCUUCCACCCCAGUUGUACAUCCCUCAGCUCUUCAAUCAACAACAACUGGUCUACCAACUCCAACAACAGCUCCAACAGUACCAACAGGGGCUGAUGCUACACUUGUACAAUUACCCACUCCAUAAUUAUAACCUCCACUCAAUGUUCCCCACCGAGUAAAAAUUAACUUACCCCGCCUUCCCGCCAAUAUCAUUAAAUGCUCAAAAAGUAAGCUAUUGAAAUUGAUUGAUCUUUUCUGGGUAAUCUGGUUGAUUAUAUAACUUAUCUCAUUGUUUUCUGCUUCAUUUUUAAAGUUUAAUGCAAGUUCAUUUAGUAAUCAUUAUUUUUUAAGAUGACCUUGAAGCAUUGUUUAGCCAAUCAGUCGUGCGUUGUCUACAAUUACAGAUAAUAGAUUGUGUUUAACUACAUUCCAACUGUUUGUUUUCACGUCUUGUAAUUGUACCUAAAUGUUACUCGAUGGAUAUGAAAUGACAUGAUACACAUUAAAAGUUCUGCUUGAUUAAUUAAUUAAGUAUUAUUAAUAUUGUCUCACCAUCUACACCUGUUUUACCUGUACAGGGUCACAGGGGAUCAAAAUCAGAAGUGCUUUAUUUAUCCCAAGGGGAAAUUACUAUCAUCAUUAUUAUCAUCACAAUACCUGUAUAGACAGAAGACUCAAUGUACAUUUAUGAUUACAGUAAUGUUAAACAGUACAAAUAGGUGUUUGUUUAAAUUUCCAAGGACAGCUGAUAAGUUGCAACAAUGUAAAUGUGAAUUUACAUUCUGUCAAAGCACUCGAGCAAAAGAUCCAUGCCUGACACAUGGCAACAGGAACAAUAUUUUUAUAACCCAAACAAGGGCCAAUCUAUUAAAUCCCAGGGCCACUUCAUCUUCAUUUCAUCAUAUAUCAUAUAUAAGUGAUGAAGUGACCAAAAAGCGCAACAAUAUUCAAGCGACUCAUCGUGAAUUAAGCGACUAUAUAGUCUCUAAAGUCGCGUUCGGUGUGAGCGCACCUUUAGAAUAGGCUCAUAUUCCCCACACACUUGCAGGAGAACUUCUAGCUCCAUUGGGGUGAAAUAAAUCACUCUCUUCCGGCUCGUUGCUAUGGUAG
This 2734-nucleotide long non-coding RNA is filed under the name Gouania willdenowi (blunt-snouted clingfish). RNAcentral describes it as "lncRNA (ENSGWIG00000017083.1)". The record is from RNAcentral. Lineage: Eukaryota; Metazoa; Chordata; Actinopteri; Blenniiformes; Gobiesocidae.